UGGUAGUUGUGUACAGUUCAACAAACUUAGUUUGGCAUUUUUUUAUUUGUUUUUAUUAUGUCUUCUACAAAAUUCUAAUCAUUUUAGAUAAAGAAUAAAUUCGAACGAAAAUAGGAUGACGUCUUUAGGCAAAUUUCGGCCUAGUAAGGCCCAGAUUCACGGUGUAUGGCCUGAGCGGGAGUCAGGCCGGCCCAUUUAUAAGGCCUGGAUUGCAGGUUGAUUUCGAUAAAGUUUGAGGGUCUGUUUCUAAAACAAUUGAGAGGAGGCAUGGACUGCGGCUUGAUUCCACUGAAUUUUGAGGGCAUUUUUGCAAAACGACCAGGGAGAGCACGAUCUGCCCCGUUCUUGAGCCCGAUCCGACGGCCGAGAAAUACCUAUGACGUGGCCACGUUGGCUGGCCUUUUUUGAUGCACGAAUCGUAUUAAGGAGAUGAUGGGCCUCAGAGAGCACGAAAGUCCAA
RNAcentral lists this long non-coding RNA (460 nucleotides) under Sorghum bicolor (sorghum). RNAcentral describes it as "long non-coding RNA (SBIC_LNC005552)". Lineage: Eukaryota; Viridiplantae; Streptophyta; Magnoliopsida; Poales; Poaceae. The record is from RNAcentral.